RNAcentral lists this transfer RNA (65 nucleotides) under Pyrops candelaria (lantern bug). RNAcentral's name for it is "tRNA-Asn". RNAcentral also lists the same sequence under 1 other name. Lineage: Eukaryota; Metazoa; Arthropoda; Insecta; Hemiptera; Fulgoridae. The record is from RNAcentral.
UUAACUGAGGCUAAAUAGAAGCACUUCACUGUUAAUGGAGAAAUUGAAAUUAAAAUCCAGUUAAA